Non-coding RNA from Musa acuminata subsp. malaccensis (wild Malaysian banana), 1538 nucleotides. Lineage: Eukaryota; Viridiplantae; Streptophyta; Magnoliopsida; Zingiberales; Musaceae. The record is from RefSeq and is a predicted model, not a curated record.
GCGGAUCCCGUUACCAACGGCCGAUUCCAUCUUUUGGAGAAGCGAAACCCGAUGUCACCGUCGGCGAGACCUCAGUCUCUUCGUCUUAUGGAAGAGCGACCGAGCCUCGCUGUUGCUACCGCUGCUGGCCGAGGGGCAUCCCCGGUUUAGGUUGAGUUCGUCAUCGACUACCUUACCACUUCUUCUUCCGCCCUUGCGAUCGAUGCACAUCCAUCACGUAGCUACUGACGAAAUGGUCAUUCCUCAGAUAAAUGUGUUGGACCAGGAGGUUGGUAUGGUGACACCUAUGUGCCUUCAUCUAACAUCCAAAGAUCUGCUAGAUAAGUUAUUCAAGGAACAUCUUAUAUGCUAAUUCAAUGUGCCAAUUGCUUUAGCUUCAAGUACCCGAUGAAUCUUUGUCACUGCUUAUGGGAAUGGGUUACAAAGAAAAUGCAGCGAAAAGGGCGCUAAGAAUGACCGGUCAAGACGUUCAGCCAGCAGUUCAUUUCCUGGUUGAAGAGCUAGGAAAAUACUCAGGAAACAGGAGAAUAUUCAGCGACAAGGAGAGAUUUUGUAUAGCUCUAUACUUUGCCAGAGAAUGUUUUUAUCUUAUUUUUUAGUUAAUGAUUGUUGCUGAUUGUAUGAACUUGUAGAGAACAGAGGAGAUAUGGUACUAAUAAAUCAUGGCAUAUAGCAUAAUGUGACAGAUGUAAUGGCUUUGCUUCUGUGGAUUGUGAAACAUUAGAUUGUGUCAGGCACUUAUCAGAUUGCUCUCUGGUGUCUAGGAUCAAUACAUGUACACUACUAGUCAAUCUAUUUUGCAGUUUUGAUAGAGAUCUUGCUGCACAGGCUCUUAGGGUGAAUGAAAAUGAAGUUCAAAAAGCGUUAGAUCUUUUGACAAAUCCUGAGAGCCCUUCAGAGUCGACUUGGAAGUUGGGAGUAUCGGAUUCUUCAGGUGCAGACGUUGAGGAAUUAGUAUCCAUGGGGUAUAACCGAUCAUCAGUUGUGGACGCUGUGCAAAGGUCACUUACCAAGGAGGAUGUGUUGAAACUUCCUGUCGGAGCAAAUUCAGAGGAUAGCCAGCAUGCUACAAUCAACCAACCGAAAGAUGAUUAAGGGCCAUCAGCUGCUUUAGCUAAUGAUGAUAAAAUGGAUCUGGGAGGAGAACACAAAUAUGAGAGAGACGAAGCCAUGGAAUAUGAGCUUGCUCCUUUGGCAGACUACAACACGGAAGUAAUGAAAGGAGAGGCCACAACAAAGUGUUUGGCCAUUCUGGAUUCAAAAGCCAAUGCAACAUAGGAAAUAAGAUACAUCGGAAGAAUCCCAUAAAUAAGUAAGAUAGUGUAGUUUCCUUUUGUAUCCCCCAGCAUUAAUAUAUUAUUAUAGAAGAUACGACUGCGAUUUCUUUUUUUAAUUAGCCAUAAGUUUUAUUUUUUCUCUUUCUGUAAUCAUCAUUUCCAAAUGGGUUUUUAUGUAUUUCUGGCAAUGUGCACCCCGUCGCCGAGAGGUCAUAUAUGGUGUUUUACAUUUAAAAUAUCUUGCUUGAAGGGAAAAAGCCU